GUCUAUGGCUGUACUCCCUCAAAUAAGUCCAGGCUCAUCUAAUCUGGGAAUUAAGCAGGGUUGGACCUGUUUAUUACUUGUAUGGGGAACUGCUUGGCAAUACUGGGUACUGGAGGCA
Molecule: ribosomal RNA, 118 nt
Organism: Cricetulus griseus (Chinese hamster)
Lineage: Eukaryota; Metazoa; Chordata; Mammalia; Rodentia; Cricetidae
Source: Ensembl